CCUACGGGGGGCAGCAGUAGGGAAUCUUCGGCAAUGGACGAAAGUCUGACCGAGCAACGCCGCGUGAGUGAAGAAGGUUUUCGGAUCGUAAAACUCUGUUGUUAGAGAAGAACAAGUGGGAGAGUAACUGUUCCCACCUUGACGGUAUCUAACCAGAAAGCCACGGCUAACUACGUGCCAGCAGCCGCGGUAAUACGUAGGUGGCAAGCGUUGUCCGGAUUUAUUGGGCGUAAAGCGAGCGCAGGCGGUUUCUUAAGUCUGAUGUGAAAGCCCUC
Molecule: ribosomal RNA, 275 nt
Filed under: uncultured Vagococcus sp.
Lineage: Bacteria; Bacillati; Bacillota; Bacilli; Lactobacillales; Enterococcaceae
Description: partial 16S ribosomal RNA
Rfam family: Bacterial small subunit ribosomal RNA
Source: RNAcentral